This 492-nucleotide ribosomal RNA is filed under the name uncultured bacterium. RNAcentral's name for it is "partial 16S ribosomal RNA". It matches the Rfam family "Bacterial small subunit ribosomal RNA", at positions 29 to 507 of the family's 1533-position model. The record is from RNAcentral.
AGUGAACGCUGGCGGUAUGCCUAACACAUGCAAGUCGAACGGCAGCACAGUAAGAGCUUGCUCUUACGGGUGGCGAGUGGCGGACGGGUGAGGAAUACAUCGGAAUCUACUUUUUCGUGGGUGAUAACGUAGGGAAACUUACGCUAAUACCGCAUACGACCUACGGGUGAAAGCAGUGGAUCUUCGGACCUUUCGCGAUUGAAUGAGCCGAUGUCGGAUUAGCUAGUUGGCGGGGUAAAGGCCCACCAAGGCGACGAUCCGUAGCUGGUCUGAGAGGAUGAUCAGCCACACUGGAACUGAGACACGGUCCAGACUCCUACGGGAGGCAGCAGUGGGGAAUAUUGGACAAUGGGCGCAAGCCUGAUCCAGCAAUACCGCGUGGGUGAAGAAGGCCUUCGGGUUGUAAAGCCCUUUUGUUGGGAAAGAAAAGCAGCAGGUUAAUACCCCGCUGUUCUGACGGUACCCAAAGAAUAAGCAACGGCUAACUUCGUG